CGUGGGGUACUGCGAGGGAUCAUUACACAAAUAUGAAGGCGGGCUGGAACCUCUCGGGGUUACAGCCUUGCUGAAUUAUUCACCCUUGUCUUUUGCGUACUUCUUGUUUCCUUGGUGGGUUCGCCCACCACUAGGACAAACAUAAACCUUUUGUAAUUGCAAUCAGCGUCAGUAACAAAUUAAUAAUUACAACUUUCAACAACGGAUCUCUUGGUUCUGGCAUCGAUGAAGAACGCAGCGAAAUGCGAUAAGUAGUGUGAAUUGCAGAAUUCAGUGAAUCAUCGAAUCUUUGAACGCACAUUGCGCCCUUUGGUAUUCCAAAGGGCAUGCCUGUUCGAGCGUCAUUUGUACCCUCAAGCUUUGCUUGGUGUUGGGCGUCUUGUCUCUAGCUUUGCUGGAGACUCGCCUUAAAGUAAUUGGCAGCCGGCCUACUGGUUUCGGAGCGCAGCACAAGUCGCACUCUCUAUCAGCAAAGGUCUAGCAUCCAUUAAGCCUUUUUUCAACUUUGACCUCUGGAUGAACAGGUUCACGUAUUAUACAAUUUUUCGUUUGG
This 553-nucleotide ribosomal RNA is filed under the name Alternaria alternata. RNAcentral describes it as "partial 18S ribosomal RNA". The stretch from base 191 to 344 matches the Rfam family "5.8S ribosomal RNA". The record is from RNAcentral. Lineage: Eukaryota; Fungi; Ascomycota; Dothideomycetes; Pleosporales; Pleosporaceae.